CGGACGGGUGAGUAAUGUCUGGGAAACGUGCCUGAUGGAGGGGGAUAACUACUGGAAACGGUAGCUAAUACCGCAUAACGUCGCAAGACCAAAGAGGGGACCUUCGGGCCUCUUGCCAUCGGAUGUGCCCAGAUGGGAUUAGCUAGUAGGUGGGGUAACGGCUCACCUAGGCGACGAUCCCUAGCUGGUCUGAGAGGAUGACCAGCCACACUGGAACUGAGACACGGUCCAG
Molecule: ribosomal RNA, 232 nt
Filed under: uncultured bacterium
Lineage: Bacteria
Description: partial 16S ribosomal RNA
Rfam family: Bacterial small subunit ribosomal RNA
Source: RNAcentral